Molecule: long non-coding RNA, 908 nt
Filed under: Homo sapiens (human)
Lineage: Eukaryota; Metazoa; Chordata; Mammalia; Primates; Hominidae
Description: HSALNT0195897
Source: RNAcentral
UCACAUCUUAGUAUUGUGAACAUGUUUUGACUCUGAAGAUCCUUUGAAAAGGCAUCAUAUCAUAUCCUCUCUUCCUUCCCUCUUGGACCAGUAUGCUGAGUGGUCCCCAUCUUGCUCCUAAUUUAAAGUCCCUGUCGGUCAGUUUACCUGCCUUCUCUGAGUUCUGAUUCACCACCCACUGCUUCCUUCCUGGAUGAUCACAGCACACGUUCCCUCCCUUGCUACCUAGCACUCAGCAGCUUUGAAGUCCAUGUUGCUGUCUGAAAUAAUGGAUUUCACAGGUCCCUCCAACCUCCACUGCACUGAUCUUCAUCCCUGACACUGCUACCCUUGAGGGCCUGAGGUCCCCCUCUCCUUUACCCACUUAGCCUUCUGGUUGGUGACACUUUACUUCCCAAAGCUCUUUGAAGCGCCCUUAGCUCAUCUUCCCUCCAAAUAUUCACUCCUUAUUAUUUCCUGGCUGCUAAUCCUCUGCUUCCACUAUCCUGAAAAAUACUUCAUGAGCCCCACUGCUCUCACCACCAAGCAUUGUUUCUCUUGUCAUCCACUGCCAAACUUCCUGCCACCUCUGUGGCUCCACUGCCUGCUUCUGCAAACCUCAGCGUGCUCCCUGCUUUACUUUUCUCCUUGGACAUACUUGGUGCCUGUAUUCUCUAUCAGAAUAUAAGCUCUAUGAAAGCUGGGAUUUUAAAAUUUUACUUACUGCUGAAUCCUCAGCUCGUAGAUCAAUGUCUGGCAUAGUAGGCCCUCAAGUAUUUGUUGAAUGAGUGAAUGACUUGUUCCCCACUAAACUGUAAACUCCGUGAGGACAGGAGCUUUGUUUUGUUCAUGUUCUAGCCUCUGUGCCCACUACAGUGCCUAACACCUAGUAACUGUGCAAAUUUUUUUUUUUUUUUUUUUUUGAGAUG